AGGGCACCACCAGGCGUGGAGCCUGCGGCUUAAUUUGACUCAACACGGGGAAACUUACCAGGUCCAGACAUGGCGAGGAUUGACAGAUUGAUAGCUCUUUCUUGAUUCCAUGGGUGGUGGUGCAUGGCCGUUCUUAGUUGGUGGGUUGCCUUGUCAGGUUGAUUCCGGUAACGAACGAGACCUCGGCCUGCUAACUAGCUUCGGGGGGCUUUUGCCCCGCCGACGCUUCUUAGAGGGACUGCUGGCGUUCCAGCCAGCGGAAGCGCGAGGCG
RNAcentral lists this ribosomal RNA (272 nucleotides) under uncultured eukaryote. Its description in RNAcentral is "partial small subunit ribosomal RNA". It matches the Rfam family "Eukaryotic small subunit ribosomal RNA", at positions 1161 to 1452 of the family's 1831-position model. The record is from RNAcentral.